RNAcentral lists this ribosomal RNA (653 nucleotides) under Pedobacter sp. SY-1. RNAcentral's name for it is "bacterial SSU rRNA". It matches the Rfam family "Bacterial small subunit ribosomal RNA", at positions 99 to 750 of the family's 1533-position model. The record is from RNAcentral. Lineage: Bacteria; Pseudomonadati; Bacteroidota; Sphingobacteriia; Sphingobacteriales; Sphingobacteriaceae.
CGCACGGGUGCGUAACGCGUAUGCAAUCUACCUUAAUCAGGGGGAUAGCCCGGAGAAAUCCGGAUUAACACCGCAUAACAUUGUUCUGUGGCAUCACAAUUNAAUCAAAUAUUUAUAGGAUUAAGAUGAGCAUGCGUGACAUUAGUUAGUUGGUGAGGUAACGGCUCACCAAGACCACGAUGUCUAGGGGAUCUGAGAGGAUGACCCCCCACACUGGUACUGAGACACGGACCAGACUCCUACGGGAGGCAGCAGUAAGGAAUAUUGGUCAAUGGGCGCAAGCCUGAACCAGCCAUGCCGCGUGCAGGAAGACGGCCCUAUGGGUUGUAAACUGCUUUUGUACCGGAAUAAACCUUCUCUUGCGAGAGAAGCUGAACGUACGGUAAGAAUAAGGAUCGGCUAACUCCGUGCCAGCAGCCGCGGUAAUACGGAGGAUCCAAGCGUUAUCCGGAUUUAUUGGGUUUAAAGGGUGCGUAGGCGGCUUUUUAAGUCAGGGGUGAAAACUUGCGGCUCAACCGUAAGCUUGCCUUUGAUACUGAGGAGCUUGAAUACACUUGAGGUAGGCGGAAUGUGACAAGUAGCGGUGAAAUGCAUAGAUAUGUCACAGAACACCAAUUGCGAAGGCAGCUUACUAAAGUGUGAUUGACGCUGAG